CUAGUAGCAGGCAUCAUAGCCCUGUUUUACUGUGUGGAACUGAAGAUUGGGACACCUGGACUCUGUCAUCGUCCUGGUCAUCCGGGUCCCUACAGGUCCCCGCCAGCAGCCUGCCUUUUGCCUGGUAACCCGGCUCCUUCCCCACGGGUCCCACGGGUCUUUGGGUCUCAGAAUCAUCCUCAGGAGAGACCCUGGACCAGAACUGCCCAGAAUUCAGAUCCACAGAAACUGUGAACUGACAGAUGUUCCAAGCAGCUGCACAGUAACACAGUAAUAUAGAAAUACUGUAAUACAUUCUGAUACCAAAAGUUGGCGGGAUUGGGGUACAGUCGGCCUUUCUCCAUCAUCUUGCUCUUAACUUACACUGGGAAAACAAAUCACAGCAGCAGCCUCCCAUCCCCGAGAAGCCUCCCCGCCCCCCAGGGCUGGCUGUGUACACCAGCCAGGGUGGUGCUGAGUCAGUGGCUGGCAGCACUGACUUUCUGUCCCUCAUCGUCAACAAGCCCGGAGUGGGGCCGUGGGGCUGUGCUGAGCCUGCUGCCUGUGCAGGACCAGGGUUUCCUCAGGUUCAAGGCCAGCUGGAGGCCACUGGGACUGAGGGCUGUGAAUGGAGUGGCAGGCCUGGCCCCACAAGAUCCCAGGGAAAAGAACCCUCCUCCCUGACCUGGUGUUCCGGAAGCAGGGAGUGCUCCCAGCCUGGUGCUCUCUAUGCCAGUGAUCCUGGCCUGAAGCCCCUUAGCCUGUAGCUCUUUGCAUGGUGCUCCUCACCCAAUGCCCCUUCCCUGCACCCUGGGCUCCCUGUCUCACCGCUCCCCUCCUGUGAGGGCCCCUCACUGCCCACCACCCCCUCUGCAGGGCCUGGCCCUGCCUGGAGAGAGAGGAAGUUUCUGUCUCACAGAAAACUGGGGAAGUGCCAGGAAGAGCAAGCUGGUGGUCUGCAAUCAAUCCUCUUGAUAAAAUGUGCCUUAAUUUUGAAUCAGCUUCUCUGUGAAUGGCUGCAGCCUCAUUCAGAGCCUAAUCAGCCCCUUGCAAAGGAAAAGACAAGCUUCACUGGGCCCCACAGGCCCGGUGGCUCAGCUCUCACUCAGCCCCGGUUCGUGCACCAGCUGGAGCACGGGGGCCCUGAUGGCCACUUUGUCUUUCUGAGGGGAGCUGGCUGCUCCAUUCAGACUAAUUGCAGGUCUCUGAAAAUGUGACCUCAAGAAUUUGCUGCUGACAACUUUCUCCAACAAUGUGGGCAGGGAGGAGAACGCUCUGUGUGCUCAGCCAUAGAAGCGAGAAGAAAUGCUGUGAUCAUGAAAACACGGCCCAGAUAGUCCACGCCACCCAGACUUCCAAACUGCCACCAGUUGUUCCCCUAAAUUCUCAAACAACUUGCAGUUCCAAACGACAUUGCCCAGUCUCUCUCUGGCACCUGCACCAGCUCAAAAGCCUCUGCCUGAUUAGGGGUUUGAAAACCACACGCUAAGCAUAAAUUAGGUGUCAGUUGUUGUUUGUGUCUGAGUGGGAAGGGCUAUUUGGAGACACCUCAACCUCCUUGUGUUCAGUUGGGGAGACGCUUGAUCCUGUGACACCUGGCAGAAGCCAGACGUCUGAACUCACAGGACAACGGGACACAGCUUCCUGGAACAUCUAUUUCCUCAAACUCUUCUUUACAUAAUAUAAUUGGCAUCUAAAGCGAUAAAUUUUCCUCUUAAGACUGCCAUGGCAAUUGCAACAACAACAAAAAUAAACAAAUGGGACUUCAUUAAACUGAAAAGCUUCUGUACAGCUAAGGAGACAACAGCCAAAGCAAAGAGACAACCUACACAAUGGGAAAGGAUAUUUGCAUAUUUUGAAUCAGACAAAAGCUUGAUAACUACGAUCUAUAGAGAACUCAAAUUAAUCCUCAUGAAAAAAGCCAACAAUCCCAUAUAUCAAUGGGCAAGAGACAUGAAUAGAACCUUCUCUAAAGAAGACAGAUGAAUGGCUAAUAAACAUAUGAAAAAAUGUUCAUCAUCCAUAUCUAUUAGAGAAAUGCAAAUCAAAACCAC
Molecule: long non-coding RNA, 2033 nt
Organism: Nycticebus coucang (slow loris)
Lineage: Eukaryota; Metazoa; Chordata; Mammalia; Primates; Lorisidae
Exons: 3
Source: RefSeq, a predicted model, not a curated record